GACGAACGCUGGCGGCGUGCUUAACACAUGCAAGUCGAACGAUGAAGCCUAGCUUGCUAGGUGGAUUAGUGGCGAACGGGUGAGUAAUACGUGAGUAACCUACCUUUAACUCUGGGAUAAGCCUGGGAAACUGGGUCUAAUACCGGAUACGACCAAUCUCCGCAUGGGGUGUUGGUGGAAAGCGUUAUGUAGUGGUUAUAGAUGGGCUCACGGCCUAUCAGCUUGUUGGUGAGGUAACGGCUCACCAAGGCGACGACGGGUAGCCGGCCUGAGAGGGUGACCGGCCACACUGGGACUGAGACACGGCCCAGACUCCUACGGGAGGCAGCAGUGGGGAAUAUUGCACAAUGGGCGCAAGCCUGAUGCAGCGACGCCGCGUGAGGGAUGACGGCCUUCGGGUUGUAAACCUCUGUUAGCAGGGAAGAAGAGAGAUUGACGGUACCUGCAGAGAAAGCGCCGGCUAACUACGUGCCAGCAGCCGCGGUAAUACGUAGGGCGCGAGCGUUGUCCGGAAUUAUUGGGCGUAAAGAGCUUGUAGGCGGUUUGUCGCGUCUGCUGUGAAAGGCCGGAGCUUAACUCCGUGUAUUGCAGUGGGUACGGGCAGACUACAGUGCAUUAGGGGAGACUGGAAUUCCUGGUGUAGCGGUGGAAUGCCCAGAUAUCAGGAGGAACACCGAUGGCGAAAGCAGGUCUCUGGGCUGUAACUGACUCUGAGAAACGAAGCAUGGGCAGCGAAUAUUGAUUAUAUAUCCUGGUUUCUUAGGGCGAAUUCCCCAGUGGAUAUCAAGUUUAUUUCUACUUUCGACCUCUAGGGGGCGCCCGGUCCCAGUUUUUGUUUUCUUUUAUUAAGGAUCAAUAUAAAUAAGCCC
This 869-nucleotide ribosomal RNA is filed under the name Rothia mucilaginosa. Its description in RNAcentral is "bacterial SSU rRNA". It matches the Rfam family "Bacterial small subunit ribosomal RNA". Lineage: Bacteria; Bacillati; Actinomycetota; Actinomycetes; Micrococcales; Micrococcaceae. The record is from RNAcentral.